ACCCUGCCCUGUUUUUCUUCUUCGGGAGAAAAGGAGCAGCAGCGCCCACCUGCUCGCAUGCUCCAGCGCCUCCACCUGCCCCGCUCCCUUUUCCUCUCUCCAAACCGAGCCAACCAAAACCCUAACCUUCUCCCCCUCUGGCCGCCGCCACUCCUCUUCUUCCCGAGAGAGAACCAAAGAAAAGUUCAGAGAUAUUCAGUAUUUUUUUGUUAAACUCUGCCGGAGUUCGCCGUCGCUGUAGAGGCCGCCACGCCGAGCUAGCGGUGGGGAUGGAGCUGCCAUGGCGCCCGCCAACUCCAUGUUGAAGGCCAGGAGCAGAGGUUGCCCUGGAACGACGCCGCGGACCUGCCUGCUUCUUCUACACCGACGGUCGCCCGUGUCUCUGCUUCCACUUACGCGUCCGCGCCGCCGUCUUCUUCCCGGUACACCCCGUCGUCCGUGGCCUCGUCUCGGAUCUUCUCCAAGCCGGUUCCCGUCGCCAGCAACCCUCACGGUACGACAGAUGAUGAGCAGUACGCAGGUGGCUACUUUUGUCGAGUUCUCGGACGACGAUUUCGUUGCGUAGCAGGAUCGUUCCUAAGGCAGCAGCCUGUGGCAUGUUGGUUAUGGGAACACCGCUUGAUUAUAUUCAGGACUCUUAGUCCAAUUUGGAUCUUGUCUGUACCCAGACUAUUUGGCUACCUUAUGUAUGAUGUACUAAUGGGAUAUGUUUCCCUUCCGAGUGUCAUUUGGAUCUUGCUCAUUAGAGCGUUGCUAUAUAUAUGAACCUUAUUUCCA
Long non-coding RNA from Lolium rigidum, 777 nucleotides. RefSeq lists it as uncharacterized. NCBI's taxonomy places the organism in Eukaryota, Viridiplantae, Streptophyta, Magnoliopsida, Poales, Poaceae. The transcript is spliced from 2 exons. The record is from RefSeq and is a predicted model, not a curated record.